This 575-nucleotide long non-coding RNA is filed under the name Arabidopsis lyrata. RNAcentral describes it as "long non-coding RNA (ALYR_LNC001963)". The record is from RNAcentral. Lineage: Eukaryota; Viridiplantae; Streptophyta; Magnoliopsida; Brassicales; Brassicaceae.
ACAAAUUUCAAGUUAUUUUAAUGUUUUUCUUCAGAUCUCGUGUUAUUUUUAUUUGAUACAUGUCAUUUAAUAAAUUAUCAGCAUCUGUUUAUCUUCUUUCUUUAUCUCCGCCGCCAAAGUUCUUGUCUCUUAUCGGAUCUUCUCCACCAUCACUUCUUCUGCUACCAUUUUCUUCACGGUGGCCACUACUAUUGUAUUGACCUCAACCACCACCGCAUCUACUAGAUCUAUAAUCUCAUGCGUUCAUGAAUCUCGACAACACCACCUUCACCCAAAUUUGUAAUUUUUGCUAUUUAUUUAUUUUUGAUCCUUCACUGCGACUUCCUCCUUCUUGUUCACCAUCAUCGCCGUUGUCAGAUUUUACACUGGAAUUAUGAUACUAAUUAUCGUUGCAAGUCUCGUCUUCUCUAAAUAAUUGAAUUGUGUUGUAAUUAUCUUAAUUUAAAGGGAUAAUUUGGUAUUUGUGCUACCCAUACCCCACAUUAAAAAGAGUUAGUUUCCAAAAAAAUCUGACACAUGGUUAGUUUCUUAAUUUUUGUGUAGAAUUUGGCUAUUUGCUAAUAUUACCCUUUAAU